Symphalangus syndactylus (siamang) is the source of this 399-nucleotide long non-coding RNA. RefSeq lists it as uncharacterized. The record is from RefSeq and is a predicted model, not a curated record. NCBI's taxonomy places the organism in Eukaryota, Metazoa, Chordata, Mammalia, Primates, Hylobatidae.
CCCAGAAGGGACGGCACUUCUUUAGGUCCUGUAAGGAAACCAUCCAGAUGCUUCCAUGUGUUGCAGAGGGGAUAUUAGCUGAGAUCUAGAAAAUAUCUCCGUUCUGGGUGUUUUCAUAAUCCAGCACCCCACUGGGGGCUCGAGUCACAUCUUUCUGCCCAAUAGUACGGAUGAGAAGACCAAGGCCUAGAGGAAAGGAGAAACCUGCCAACAGCUAAUAGCAGUGAGACCUGAAGCUGAGGUCACUUCUCUCUCUGGAAAGACUCCGAGGAUGGAAAAGUACAGCCAGCCCCCAGGUCUGAAAUCCUAAUGCCAUGACUAACACAAGAUGACCCAGAGGGAUCCCCAGAUGAGAGAAGUUAAUACCAAGUUUCUGAAAGAAACCAGCUCUGAAAACAA